This 474-nucleotide ribosomal RNA is filed under the name uncultured bacterium. RNAcentral's name for it is "SSU rRNA". It matches the Rfam family "Bacterial small subunit ribosomal RNA", at positions 26 to 518 of the family's 1533-position model. The record is from RNAcentral.
AGAAUGAACGUUGGCGGCGUGGAUUAGGCAUGCAAGUCGUACGGGCCGCAAGGCCAGUGGCGCAAGGGUGAGUAAGGCGACGGCAACCAACCCCGCGAUUGGGUAUAGCCGCGGGAAACCGCGGGUAAUCCCCAGCGACGUCCGUGGAGGGCAUCCUCUGCGGACCAAAGCUCAGGCGUCGCGGGACGGGCCGUCGUGGUAUUAGCUUGUUGGCGGGGUAACGGCCCACCAAGGCGUUGAUGCCUACCGGGCGUGCGAGCGUGGCCCGGCACACUGGGACUGAGACACUGCCCAGACUCCUACGGGAGGCUGCAGUCGAGAAUCUUCGGCAAUGGGCGCAAGCCUGACCGAGCGACGCCGCGUGGAGGACGAAGGCCUUCGGGUUGUAAACUCCUGUCGAGGGGGAAGAAGGGGUGUUAAAACCCUUGACUGAUCCCUGGAGGAAGCACGGGCUAAGUUCGUGCCAGCAGCCGC